ACCUGGCUGGCUCAGUCAGUAGAGCAUGUGACUCUUGAUCUCAGGGUCAUGCGCUCAACUCCCAUGUUGGGCG
Molecule: transfer RNA, 73 nt
Filed under: Felis catus (domestic cat)
Lineage: Eukaryota; Metazoa; Chordata; Mammalia; Carnivora; Felidae
Also listed under: 1 other name
Rfam family: tRNA
About the family: Transfer RNA (tRNA) molecules are approximately 80 nucleotides in length. Their secondary structure includes four short double-helical elements and three loops (D, anti-codon, and T loops).
Source: Rfam by way of RNAcentral